This 738-nucleotide long non-coding RNA is filed under the name Nicotiana benthamiana. RNAcentral describes it as "long non-coding RNA (NBEN_LNC026348)". Lineage: Eukaryota; Viridiplantae; Streptophyta; Magnoliopsida; Solanales; Solanaceae. The record is from RNAcentral.
GAGCUAAAACUUGACACUUAGAUAGAGGAGGAAGUAGAAAGAAAAUCUUUAUACACUAUUAUCAUCCAAUGAAUUCAUUGCAACACCACGAACAAUGAGACUUCUGUCUCGCUUACCUGCCCGACGGGUAGACCCAAUAGAAUAAAUAGAAUAAGAGGCUUGACCUAGAGCCCUUCUCUUCCCCCUGAAAAAAAUCGGAUAUUUGGCAUGAGUAGCCUACGAGCCCUUACUUGAUGUCUGCGCUAACUGCCCUAUAGCUGGUGAAUCCUUUGAAUCAUAGGAAUGGCAAAAUCAGUAGAUACCGGGCUUGGAACAUCUCACCACUAACUGCCAUAUAGCCGAUGAAUCCUUUGAAUCACAGGAAUGGAAAAAUCAUUAGAUACCGGACUUGGAAGAUCUCACCACACGCGUACUAAAAGCGCGAUCUUGAAACUAGAAACUCUGGUUUGGAACAAAUGAGCGGAUAGGCUUGACGAAGUUUAGGAAAAAUGCAAUAAUAUAAUAAUAAAGUUUUGCCGUUCUGUCUUUCGCACGGAAGUCUGUCUGUCUUCAUUCCAAUCAUCGUAGUUCGAUCGAUCAACUACGCCCAUCCAAUCUAACCAUCUCUCCUGAAGCCCUUUCCCUUCUAGUAGCCCUUCAUCGUUAUUGAAACAUAGGUCCUCGGCAGGCGGGAACAAAAAGAGAAAGAAGAAGAUAGAAAGGUUCGGUCCCAGUUGGUCUCGUCUAUGGAUUUUCUUU